This 552-nucleotide ribosomal RNA is filed under the name uncultured bacterium. Its description in RNAcentral is "partial 16S ribosomal RNA". It matches the Rfam family "Bacterial small subunit ribosomal RNA", at positions 355 to 896 of the family's 1533-position model. The record is from RNAcentral.
UGGGGAAUAUUGGACAAUGGGCGCAAGCCUGAUCCAGCAAUGCCGCGUGUGUGAAGAAGGCCUUCGGGUUGUAAAGCACUUUUAUCAGGAGCGAAACGCUGUCGGCUAAUACCCGGCGGAACUGACGGUACCUGAGGAAUAAGCACCGGCUAACUUCGUGCCAGCAGCCGCGGUAAUACGAAGGGUGCAAGCGUUAAUCGGAAUUACUGGGCGUAAAGCGUGCGUAGGCGGUUUCUUAAGUCUGCUGUGAAAUCCCCGGGCUCAACCUGGGAAUGGCAGUGGAUACUGGGAGGCUAGAGUGUGUCAGAGGGUGGUGGAAUUCCCGGUGUAGCGGUGAAAUGCGUAGAGAUCGGGAGGAACAUCAGUGGCGAAGGCGGCCACCUGGGACAACACUGACGCUGAGGCACGAAAGCGUGGGGGAGCAAACAGGAUUAGGAUACCCUGGUAGUCCACGCCCUAAACGAUGCGAACUGGAUGUUGGUCUCAACUCGGAGAUCAGUGUCGAAGCUAACGCGUUAAGUUCGCCGCCUGGGGAGUACGGUCGCAAGACUG